UUAGGUUAAGUUAUGAAGGGCGCAUGGUGAAUGCCUUGGUACUAGGAGCCGAUGAAGGACGGGACUAACACCGAUAUGCUUCGGGGAGCGGUAAGUACGCUUUGAUCCGGAGAUUUCCGAAUGGGGCAACCCAAUCAGCUUAGUCGCUGAUUACUUGACUAGUGAAUACAUAGCUAGCAAGAGGUAGACGCAGUGAACUGAAACAUCUUAGUAGCUGCAGGAAGAGAAAGAAACAUCGAUUCCCUGAGUAGCGGCGAGCGAAAAGGGAAGAGCCCAAACCAACAAGCUUGCUUGUUGGGGUUGUAGGACUG
This 311-nucleotide ribosomal RNA is filed under the name Limosilactobacillus reuteri. Its description in RNAcentral is "Lactobacillus reuteri partial 23S ribosomal RNA". It matches the Rfam family "Bacterial large subunit ribosomal RNA", at positions 1 to 308 of the family's 2925-position model. Lineage: Bacteria; Bacillati; Bacillota; Bacilli; Lactobacillales; Lactobacillaceae. The record is from RNAcentral.